UAAGAAAGAAACAAAUCUUACCAUUUGCAACAACAUGGAUGGAGCUAGAGGGUAUUAUGCUCAGUGAAAUAAGCCAGGUGGAGAAAGACAAGUGCCAAAUGAUUUCACUCAUAUGUGGAGUAUAAGAACAAAGCAAAACUGAAGGAACAAAACAGCAGCAGAAUCACAGAACCCAAGAAGGGACUAGUGGUUACCAAAGGGGAGGGGUGUGGGAGGGCAGGUGGGGAGGGAGGGAGAAGGGGAUUGUGGGGCACCAUGAUUGGUGCACAUGGUGUGUGUGGGUCACGGGGAAGACAGUGUAGCUCAUAGACAAACAGGGACUCUGUGGCAUCUCACUACACUGAUGGGCAGUGACUGCAAUGGGGUAUGGGGGGGGACUCGGCAAUAAGGGUGAAUGUAGUAACCACAUUGGUUUUCUUGUGAAACCUUUAUAAGAGUGUAUAUCAAUGAUACCUUAAUAAAAAAAAUUUUUUUUAAGACGAGGAGGAUGUGUUGGUGUCCAGGUGAGAGACUGAAACAGCAAGUUUCCCGUGGUACACAUCAAUGGGUGCUCUGGAAUCCUCCGCGAGGGAGGGGCCAGAGGAGAGGCUCGUGCAGGGAGCUCACGGGGGGUCAGGAAUGUGGCGCUCGGCUGACAGAGGCUGACAAGAGCGAGGACAUCAGGCAUGCUGUGUAAGCUGACAGGCACUGUACUCAGCCUGAGACAGGUGGUGGCCAGGGGACAACCCCUACCCCUGCUCUGACCAAGGACUGAGGCUCCAUCACCCAGCGGGGCCCCUCCAGAGCCUGAGAGCGCAGUGUGGUCGGGCCACCAUGUCCUCUCACACUGUCCACCUCCAGGGGGAGAGCACAGAAUGAAGGGAAUCCGGGACCACAGAUCAUCUGUCUCCUGGUGACAGUCAAGCUUUCAUAAAAGGUCUGGUGGGAGGAAGCUUCAACUAAUUCAGCUAAUCCCAACUAAUUCCAGCCUCCCUGAACCCCAGCUGUGCGCAAGGCCCGCGCUGGGCAGAACAGUACCAAGGUGAGCUCUGGCCUGGGGAGCACCUCUUCCAAGACUAUAGAGUCAUUAUGAAUAAAGAAACCAGAGCUCAAAGAGGAUGCCACAGCUGACCAACAACGAAGCACCGUGUUGGGAGCCUUCAAAACGGCAGGUGAACAUACUGCAGAUUUGGCUGGUGGACCCGUUGCUCAGGAGGCUGGGGUCUGGAGUCCUCCUCCAUGCAGAAAGGAACUAGAAAUAACCAACCCUGAAGAAAUGAGCCUCAUUAGAGGCCAGAUUCUGGUUUCUAAAUAUAUUUCUCACUAAAGGGAAUGAGGCCCCUUAGAGAAAUGGCUGAUUCCAGGUCUGGUGCAGCAGAUGUGCAUCUGGACCUUCUGCAAGCCAUUUGUCACAUUGGGAAAAAAAACAAGAGCCCCUGGACAACAGGACUCGGCAUCUGCCUCUGGCCCUCCGGAACCCCAAAGGAGAACCCCCAGCUCUCAGCGGUCAGUGACUAAAGGUCCAGUGGAAUUUCAGAAGGACAAAGUGAGCCUAUACGUAGAGUCCAUGUUAAAGUUAAGUCAGGAAUCCUCCUAUUUUUAAUUUCAGAUCUUCCACAGUAAAAAGUAAAACACAAAUUCAAGUCACAGGCUGACACCAUGGCAUUUUGAAAUUACAAACAUUUGCAAGUUUUCCCAGCAGAGGUUGCUUUAAAGAGUCGGAGUCAGUGCGUCUGCCUCUCCCGAGCGCCCAGGGAAGCUGAGAGGCAAAGCCAGCAGGGCCCACGGCCAGCAGGUGGGGGUGAGGCCUGGGAGAGGGGCCUCCCGCAGGGCUGUUUUCUAGGCAGAGCUGUGGUCUACAGAACAAGGUAACACCAAGAAAGCCUCAGGUCUGCAAGGUCUUGGAAAACUUACUCUGGUCAACUGAAGAUCUUGACAGUUCAGUCUAACCAACCCAAGAUAAUGCACCUCUUACAGGGUUAGAGAAAGAGGUAAAAUUCUGACAUAAGAUGGUGGAUUCAGGGAGUCUGAGAAUUUUGUAGGAUCUGGAGUUUAUAAGAAAAAUAGUGGGGAGACAGUAAAGAUGCCUAGGGCCCCAGGGCCAGCCAAUGUGACAGAUGUUUGAGUUAAGAAACCAGGGCUACUGAAAUGACAAACUUCAGAGACCCCCUAUCCACCUCCCAGAAAGCUGGAGCAGAAGAAAUGUUAUUGUCCGAGGAAACCCCCGAGAUAGGAUGGGUCCAAACACAAAAAGGGCACAGACAGCGCCCCCUGUCCUCACCCAUGGGUUAGACACCUUAGUGACAAGGUGCCAAGAAUCAGUUUGAGAUGGGUAGACAUGUCCCCUUCUCCCUCAGACCAGGGUUGACCCUCUCCCUGUUUGUUUUCUAAUGCCUGGGGCCGUGCCUCUAAGAAAGGCUUCUCAGAAACUCUUGCCCCCAAAGAGGGAGGAGAUACUGGUUUCUAGGGCUUAGGCCAACCACCCUUUCGAAAAGUGUUACUGCUCAGUUGGACACGGGUGAGGAGAAAACUCCCCUAGGGGUUCUGAGGUCUUAGAAAUCAGGCUGCUGUGUGUUAGUGUCUUCAGAGUGAAGUCUGGCAAAGGUUUGGUUAAAAAAUCAGGUUUAAGAUUUAUGAGAAGGGCCAUCUUGGACUCUCUGACUCUUACCCCUCCCUUGGGGCUCAAGCACGGGUCACAGGCCUGAUUGCAGCCCUUUAGGUAGAGGGUAUCAUUUCACAUGCUUAUCAGUCUGCUGGAUACGUGAGUCUUUUUCUGCCUUUAGCCUCUUGACCUGAGCUUCUAUUUAUACCUACAAAACUCAUCCUUUCAAAUGGAGGGUAACCCAAUAGCAGCUAUAUUUUCAUGCACUCCUGAAAUAUAAAAAUCCUAAAGACAUAAUAAUUACUUUUUGUAUUUUUUAAAUGUCACCUCUUCCUUUGGCAUUAAAUUAAUUUCCAAAAUAGAUCUCUUCCUUCUCCUUUCUCCUGACUGCCUUUUCUAGAGUUUUACUAAAUGUUUUUGCCAAUAGGUCUUUUUCUUAUAAGUCCUCACAUUUGUUCUAAUUAUAAACUAGCACACAUGGUGACAUAUAUUUCUUUCCUAGGCUAAAUUCCAGAAAGCAAUGACGAAGGACAGAGAGGUCCAUAAGGAAGCUGGAUUUAGUCUCGGGUACAGCAAAUUGCCUUUGCAGCUGCAUUUUUUAAAAAACUAAAAAGAAGUUUUACUCCUAGCUGGGCAGGUCCCAGUGGGUUCCCCUCUCCUGCUAACUUAUUAGCCUCUCUGGGGCCAGUAAUAUGUUCUAGGCAUCUUUGUACUCUCACCUCUAGUGCCCUGCACAUGGAGGUAUGCAAUGAAGGUUUAACUGAAUUAAAUUGCAUUUGACCAAGUGAGAAGUAACACCUAACAUCAUUUUAGAGAAAAGCAAAGAAAUAAACUGCAUUGUAUGGCACAGACAUGCUAGUGUCCUUGCUAUAGCUUACCAGUUAGCUAAUUCAAAAAUUGCAUAUAGUCAAAUGUCACAAUUUUACUUGAAAAAAAAAACAGACCACAAAACACCUCUUUCUAUCCUCAGAUAUGAAGAGCAAUAUAGAGCAGAAGGGAUCUCUCACAAGCCCAUCACCUGGCAAUAUGCCAAAUUAAUAACUGGUUAUAAACUCAGUCUUUUAAAAAUGUAUAAUAAAGACAUUUAAAACAAAAUGGUAUACUCUGAGCCCAUAGGAUAAAAUGGUCAGCCAUAGAUCUUGCUCUCUAGCCUGCUUUUUCACUCAGUAUAAUUUGUUGAGAACAUUUUCUCAUAUUA
This is a long non-coding RNA of Manis pentadactyla (Chinese pangolin), 3779 nucleotides long. RefSeq lists it as uncharacterized. Lineage: Eukaryota; Metazoa; Chordata; Mammalia; Pholidota; Manidae. The transcript has 6 exons. The record is from RefSeq and is a predicted model, not a curated record.